This 921-nucleotide ribosomal RNA is filed under the name uncultured bacterium. RNAcentral describes it as "bacterial SSU rRNA". It matches the Rfam family "Bacterial small subunit ribosomal RNA", at positions 76 to 995 of the family's 1533-position model. The record is from RNAcentral.
CUGCUUGCAGAUAGAUGGCGACCGGCGCACGGGUGCGUAACGCGUAUGCAACCUACCUCAUACAGGAGGAUAGCCCGAAGAAAUUCGGAUUAAUACUCCAUAGUAUCAUACUUUCGCCUGUUAGUAUGAUUAAAGAUUUAUCGGUAUGAGAUGGGCAUGCGUUAGAUUAGCUAGUUGGAGAGGUAACGGCUCACCAAGGCUACGAUCUAUAGGGGGCCUGAGAGGGUGAUCCCCCACACUGGUACUGAGACACGGACCAGACUCCUACGGGAGGCAGCAGUGAGGAAUAUUGGUCAAUGGAGGCAACUCUGAACCAGCCAUGCCGCGUGAAGGAAGAAGGCGUUCUGCGUUGUAAACUUCUUUUAUUUGGGAAGAAACCCCUCUACGUGUAGAGGGCUGACGGUACCAAACGAAUAAGCACCGGCUAACUCCGUGCCAGCAGCCGCGGUAAUACGGAGGGUGCAAGCGUUAUCCGGAAUCAUUGGGUUUAAAGGGUCCGCAGGCGGUAUUAUAAGUCAGUGGUGAAAGCCUACAGCUUAACUGUAGAACUGCCAUUGAUACUGUAGUACUUGAGUUCGGUCGAAGUUGGCGGAAUAUGUAGUGUAGCGGUGAAAUGCAUAGAUAUUACAUAGAACACCUAUAGCGAAGGCAGCUAACUAGGCCUGGACUGACGCUGAGGGACGAAAGCGUGGGGAGCGAACAGGAUUAGAUACCCUGGUAGUCCACGCCGUAAACGAUGGAUACUCGCUAUCGGCGAUACAAUGUCGGUGGCUAAGCGAAAGUGAUAAGUAUCCCACCUGGGGAGUACGAUCGCAAGGUUGAAACUCAAAGGAAUUGACGGGGGCCCGCACAAGCGGUGGAGCAUAUGGUUUAAUUCGAUGAUACGCGAGGAACCUUACCAGGGCUUAAAUGUACGUUGCA